This 376-nucleotide ribosomal RNA is filed under the name uncultured organism. RNAcentral describes it as "partial 16S ribosomal RNA". It matches the Rfam family "Bacterial small subunit ribosomal RNA", at positions 527 to 896 of the family's 1533-position model. The record is from RNAcentral.
GUAGGUGGCAAGCGUUGUCCGGAAUUAUUGGGCGUAAAGCGCGCGCAGGCGGUUCUUUAAGUCUGAUGUGAAAGCCCACGGCUCAACCGUGGAGGGUCAUUGGAAACUGGAGAACUUGAGUACAGAAGAGGAAAGCGGAAUUCCACGUGUAGCGGUGAAAUGCGUAGAGAUGUGGAGGAACACCAGUGGCGAAGGCGGCUUUCUGGUCUGUAACUGACGCUGAGGCGCGAAAGCGUGGGGAGCAAACAGGGAUUAGAUACCCUGGUAGUCCACGCCGUAAACGGUGAGUGCUAAGUGUUAGGGGGGUUUCCCGCCCCCUUAGUGCUGCAGCUAAACGCAUUAAGCACUCCGCCUGGGGAGUACGGCCGCAAGGCUG